RNAcentral lists this long non-coding RNA (1528 nucleotides) under Capra hircus (goat). RNAcentral's name for it is "lncRNA (ENSCHIG00010022623.1)". The record is from RNAcentral. Lineage: Eukaryota; Metazoa; Chordata; Mammalia; Artiodactyla; Bovidae.
AUGUGUGCACUUUCUCACGAAAAUACCCAUCUGUUCUCUACAACAAGCUGGCUAAUAUCUUCUCAGCCUUGGGCUCCUGCACUUAUACUUCCCAAGGAAUAUAUAUCUGAGUUAAGAGCUUCCUUUCACAAAAAUCUUGCCUUCCCUCAUACAAGUACCUUCUCACACUACAUCAUAUCAUCUACUUACCUGUCUGUAUCCCACCUAGACUUAAGUACACAAAUGCAGAGUCCAUAUCGAUCUAAUUUUCCUAACAUAUUCCCAUCUUGGCAUAUAAAUGUUGCUCAAGAACCAUUUACUUAAUGAAUGAUAUAAGCUUAGGAGAUGCAGAAACAUGAUGAGUCAGGAAGAAAAUGAAGUUGAAGAAAAUGUCAAGACUCCCAGAGAGAUGUUCUGAACACAGUUGAAAAAAUGGAGCUGGAGUUGGGUUGAGAAGGGUGGGCUAAGGAUACUGAAAACGUAAGACAGGAGGAAUAGAGACUGAGAAAAACACUAAGCCAAGGGCUGAUAAAAGAAACUGAUGGGGUAAAAGAAAGGUGAGAAACAAGCAGAAAGUAGAAAAGGAAUCACUGGAAAUUAAGAGGAACAAAACAGUAGUCAUGUAGAAGCUAAAAAAGACCACUUAAGAAUGGAAGUAGGAACCCGAGUCAAACGCUAAAGUAAGGUCAAGGAAGAUCGAGAGAGUUGCUCCAUGAGCCAUAAGGACUAGGUCUGUUUCACUCAUCUAGGACACAACAGUGUCCAGCACACACGGGAAAUUAAUAAAAAUUAGUUGAAUUAUGGAGUAAAGGACCACUUUUCAAUAGCCGUGGAUUAGAAUGAGCCUAAAUUAUAUCUGCUCAGGGAUCUUGUCCUUAAAUACUCACUAGUCAACACUUAUUUUACAGUUAAAUAAAACUUCCUCUAAUCCUUUGACUUAAUCUUAGUACAUUCUUUUUAAUAUUACUUAUCUGUCCACAGCCUUUUAUUUUUCCCUCCUAACUAAGAAGUGUCAGUACAAGAGGGUUGCCCACUUGAGAGAGCACUGACGAAAGGGCUGCUCAUGCCUCAGCAUCUAACCGGCAUUGUAUAUGACUUGUUCCUCAAACCAGAUCGUCCCCAUUGGUCCUGUAACCCUAACAUUAAAAAGUAAUGUAUUUUAGGCAGCUUAAGUGGUGAACAGAUCAGAUUCUCCUCGCUGUANNNNNNNNNNNNNNNNNNNNNNNNNAUAAAAGAAAAAAAAAAAACCCUGCCAAUGUAAUAAAUCAUCUUAAUAAUUUAGAGCUUGUAUGAGAAGAUUCAUAAAACAAUGACUGUGGCACAGGAUUAUUAAGCCUGAGCAAUUUACUGAUGAAAAGAAGGUUUAAGAGAAUACAGACAUCAUAGGAUGAGAUACACUUAUACUUAUCUGAAGGAAGCAGAAGGAAAGAUAACAGGGGAGAAAGAAAGAUUAUUAAUAUCUGACAUAAUGGAUAUGGGUAUAGGAGGCAGCAGAGGAAGGUUAUGAGUAUGAAUUGAAAGAGAAAGGACAUCGUGGCUGCUAAGGAAG